Molecule: long non-coding RNA, 385 nt
Organism: Drosophila grimshawi
Lineage: Eukaryota; Metazoa; Arthropoda; Insecta; Diptera; Drosophilidae
Exons: 3
Source: RefSeq, a predicted model, not a curated record
CGAUAAUGUAUCUUAGUUAUUUUGAUUAAGUGCUGGUCGUCCUGUACGCUCAUGAAUUUAUUUGAAGCAUAUUCGGUCUCAAAAAUGCACUGGCAACAGCUCCAUUUGUGACUGCUCGAUUGAGUGUUACUCGUUGGAAUUAUGUGUCGAACCCAAGUCGAGGGGCGGGUUUUGGCCUGGACAUUAUCAGUGGCCAGAAACAACGAAACAUCGCGUAACCCAGCGAUUUUAUAAUUGCUCGAGACACAACAACAAAACUACAACUGCGAGUACAUAAUAACAAGUUUCUCUUAUGUACUUGGCAAUUAUGAAAUAUAUCACUGACAUAGAAAUUAAACAACAUGGUAAAUACAUAGAUGUACACAGUAUCCCGUCUAAUUUUGCA